GAUGAACGCUGGCGGCGUGCCUAAUACAUGCAAGUCGAGCGAACGAACGAGAAGCUUGCUUCUCUGAUGUUAGCGGCGGACGGGUGAGUAACACGUGGAUAACCUACCUAUAAGACUGGGAUAACUUCGGGAAACCGGAGCUAAUACCGGAUAAUAUUUUGAACCGCAUGGUUCAAAAGUGAAAGACGGUCUUGCUUUCACUUAUAGAUGGAUCCGGGCUGCAUUGGCAAGUUGUGAAGGAAACGGCUUACCAAGGCAACGAUGCAUAGCCGACCUAAAGGGGUGACUGCCCACCCUGGAACUGAGACACGGCCCAGACUCUUACGGGAGGAAGCAGUAGGGAAUCUUGCGCAAUGGGCGAAGGCCUGACGGGGCAACGCGGCGUGAGUGAUGAAGGUCUUCGGAUCGUAAAACUCUGUUAUUAGGGAAGAACAUAUGUGUAAGUAACUGUGCACAUCUUGACGGUACCUAAUCAGAAAGCCACGGCUAACUACGUG
Molecule: ribosomal RNA, 497 nt
Filed under: uncultured bacterium
Lineage: Bacteria
Description: partial 16S ribosomal RNA
Rfam family: Bacterial small subunit ribosomal RNA
Source: RNAcentral